UGCUGCUCUUCUCUGGUGCUUUUGCUACCGCCUCCGACACCGUCCUGAAAUUUCCGCUUCCGUCCGCCGCCACAACCACGUCGGGGCUCACCGUCGAAGACUGCAGCAUUCUUCGGUCCCCAGCGGACAACCACUCUGGCCAUUCACUGUUGUCCUCUCUCAACUUCCUGUUGUUUAAGAUAUAAUUAAGUAAAUAACUGAAUACUCUUUAAUUAUAACAAUACUACUUGCACUGUUGAACUUUAAGAUAAUCGGACCACACAAAUUUUAAUACCUGUUAGUAGUGGUACCCUUCAACUUCAUCUCAUUAGCAAUGUCUGUAUCGGUCAUGUUACAAAUCAUAGCUAAAGCAUUACUGCACAUUUUUUCUACGUGCUUUUGACCUUUCAGCAAAGCUUUGCGAACCUUUUUAUCGGCGUCAUCGUGAGAAAAACCGUCAAGGCAAGUCUCUUGGUUAGUAAUUGCGGAACUUAUUAGAGUUUUGAGGUCAUCUGCGUGGUCUUUCAGAGACUUUUUGUUGGGAUACAGCUCGAGGUCGUCUAUGGCCGUGUGGAGUUCGUCGAGAGUCUCGUCUAUUGUCUCAAGGCAAUCGUGCAACGCAACCUUUUCUCGUGGCGUUAAACCUGUAUAAUUAAAUAAUUACUAAAAAUAUCAGUUACACAGUUUAAUAUGGUAUACAGGCGAUGGUAUAAUAUAAUUAAAUACUGUAAUUAAAAGUGUACUUUGUUAGAUAGUUUUAAGUGUUUUCAAAUGAGAUGGUUAUGCAUUUUAAUACUUAAUACCUUUUCUUGUUUUGAUGAGUUUCUCGACCGUAAAGAAGUUGUGUUGAACGGCCUUGCAAGUGAUAUUCAAGGACAAUUCAAUGACGUCUUUUUGGCUAGUUACUUUUUUGGAGAAAUCUGAAACACUUGCAAUUGUAGAGUAACAUAAUUCGGGGUGCAGAGUGUUUUCACACGCAGAUUUAACAAUGGCAUGAGCUGCAGAGGUAAUGGCCUGUAUGUCUGCGUGGUCGUUGGAGUUAUUCGAACGGGAUUUUACUCCG
RNAcentral lists this long non-coding RNA (1042 nucleotides) under Nicotiana tabacum (common tobacco). RNAcentral describes it as "long non-coding RNA (NTAB_LNC002530)". The record is from RNAcentral. Lineage: Eukaryota; Viridiplantae; Streptophyta; Magnoliopsida; Solanales; Solanaceae.